GACGAACGCUGGCGGCGUGCUUAACACAUGCAGUCGAACGGAAAGGCCCUGCUUUUGUGGGGUGCUCGAGUGGCGAACGGGUGAGUAACACGUGGGUAACCUGCCCUUGACUUUGGGAUAACUUCAGGAAACUGGGGCUAAUACCGGAUAGGAGCUCCUGCUGCAUGGUGGGGGUUGGAAAGUUUCGGCGGUUGGGGAUGGACUCGCGGCUUAUCAGCUUGUUGGUGGGGUAGUGGCUUACCAAGGCUUUGACGGGUAGCCGGCCUGAGAGGGUGACCGGCCACAUUGGGACUGAGAUACGGCCCAGACUCCUACGGGAGGCAGCAGUGGGGAAUAUUGCACAAUGGGCGGAAGCCUGAUGCAGCAACGCCGCGUGCGGGAUGACGGCCUUCGGGUUGUAAACCGCUUUCGCCUGUGACGAAGCGUGAGUGACGGUAAUGGGUAAAGAAGCACCGGCUAACUACGUG
Molecule: ribosomal RNA, 467 nt
Filed under: uncultured bacterium
Lineage: Bacteria
Description: partial 16S ribosomal RNA
Rfam family: Bacterial small subunit ribosomal RNA
Source: RNAcentral